UUUUGAUAUGAAGCAGGUGGGGUGGGGAAGUAGAGGUCAGUGGAGGGUCAACCUAAGAUGGCAAGAUCCUGAGUCAGGCUUGCUUUCAACUAUGGCUUCCCAUUUGUAUGGACUGACUCUCUCUGAGGACAGGCUCUACCAUAGACCCUUCCAGAAGUCCGGAGACUGGGAAGAGCAUGGACUCAGAAUGCAUUUGGUUUGAGAUUGCAAGUUGGCUACUCACUAUACACUGCACGACCUUUUCCAUGUUUCCAGACUUGAGUUUUGGUUUCCAAAUCUGUACAAGGUAGCAAUGCAUCUAUCUUGCAGGAAGGUGGAGGGGAUUGGGUGGGAGAGUGUAGGGAAAGUGUCAGUUACUGGGUCCAUAAAGAGAAAUGUGCUACAAGGUUGUCGACCCCACAAGUCACAUGUUUUAACGGACUCUAUCUUGGAGUUAUCCAGGGCAGUGGUUCAUAUGAUUUAAUUGUUAACUGACCAGAAGGCUGAUCUCUAUGCGGGAGUCAGCCUCCUCUGCAGAUUGGUGGGAGGGGCCCUGAACUUCAGCACCCAGGCUCACCCAGUGUUUGCCAGACGUCUCUGAUAAUGAGAAUCUCGUGGGGGUACUUCUUAACCAUUGCUGGUUCCUGGCUUCAUCUCAGACCCAUUGGAUAAGAACCUCCAGGAGGCCCGGGAAGCUGUGUUUUUAAUAUGAGCCCCAGACAAUUCUUAUCAGAGAAUUUUGGGAAACACCAUUAAUCCUAGCUAUAACACGGAUUGAUUGGUGAUAGCCAGCUGAUUUUUUUUUUCUCUUUAAGAGUAAAAUAAAAAUUUACUGCAAAGAUGAUGUCUAAGAUCCAGACUUAUUUUUACAGAAGGCAUCCUUCCAUUGAUAUUUGGGGGAAGAGGGUAUCAUCAUGCUUUCAGGAGAAAGAUGCCGUUUCCUUCCUCCCCUGCGUUAGCUGUCACUUUCCUCUCUGCUUGAAAUUCUCUCCUCACUUCUUACACCUGGAAAACUCUGCUCCUUCUUCAAGAGUCAGUUCGGCCAAUCAUGCCCCCUGAAAACCUUCUGUGACUCUCCCAGCCGAGUCAGUGUUUCCUCAUAACCUCUUUGGACUGAGCACCAGGGCUGUUUCCUAGUGAAGAAGGCCAAAUCACAAGAGAAGAGAAAAGAUUGAUCUUGAGUGCUGGGUAUUUUUCGCUCACCACAUUAGCUGCCAGUUUUCCAGGCUAUCCCCCCAGGACCGAGAUGAGGUGAGAGGUGGUUCAAUGAACGAGACAGAAAAUAUCAAUUAUUGAUGAGAAUAUGGAGCACUUGGAGUUCUUAUACACUGCUAGCUGGAGUGCCAAAUGAGUACAAGCUACUCCGCCAGUACCCUGCAAGCUGAACCUAAUCAACGAGUUGGCAAGUCUACUCCUAGGGGAAGCCUGCUGCCAGGUCACGUAGCCCCGUGGAGACGCCUGCAUGGUGAGGAACUGAGGCCUGCCCAAAACCACAGGAAUGAUCUUGGAUGUGGAUCUUCCAGCCCCAGAUGAAAACAUUGAAACUAAAGAAUGAAACACGUGCUGGUCAAAGUCACAGCUCUCUGAAGUAUUAGAGCUGCAACUUGAACCCAGUCUGUCUGGAUAAUUCCAGUAAGCCAGGCUCAGUCAAAACUUGAGUAAACAAAUGUUCUUUGGUCUUAGGUGGAAAUUCAGAGAUGAAAAGGCCAAGUUUCCUGUCCUCAAGAAAUUGCUGGUGUGAUCAGGUCGAGUUGUAAAAAUAUGAUCCACCAAGAACCAAGAUCCCCUGGAGAGGAAGCCAAUUUGCAGAAGACUGGAUUCUCACAUCUGCUCUGAAGUCAGAUUCUGUGCAGUGUAAUGUUUUGUCAAAGUCUGUGCAGAGAACCCGGUCUCACACAGCCCUAAAAAGAAGCUAAAAUUGGACGCAUAUUAUAAUUCAAUGCAUUAUUGAAUGCAUGUAACGAGGAAAACCACGUUCAGAAAUGUGAGCCAAUUUGACUCAGAAUCCAUCAAGCCAUAUUACCACCAACCUCCAUGUCGUCCGACAAGCAUUUGAGUGGCUUCCCUGUACAAGGGAUAUCUUAUUCUGGAGAAGAAACAUGGUGCACCAGAAACACUUCAGUCCACAAAGGAUUACGAGCCAAUCGGCCAUAAUUGUUGCUUUGAAAAGGCAGGAGCAAAAGUAGAGUUGAUGGAGAUUCCAGGCGUGAAAGGGUCGUAAGUUCUGGGCUUUCCAAUACUAAGCCAUCCUCCUCCAGAUGAUUUUAAUAAUCUCCAGCACAUGUGUUCUAACCCCUUGAUGCUGUACAAUAUGUGUAACCAAAUAAAAGAUCGCUCCAGAUUCGGAGAUUUACUGUUUGUGAUGGGAAAAGGCCAACCAGAUGACAUCAUUUAUAUUCCAAAUAUGAGCUGCUGCCAAGGCUGGUGAUGUUAAGCUGGAGAAAUUGAUCCUCAACGUUAUUCUGUGAAGGAAAAAAGAGAAAAGAUCUUGGCUGAGACAGUAUCUUUUUGUUAUUUAUGUGAGUAUGAAGACUAGUUUCAUAAACUUCUGUUGUAUCUAGGAUUGCUUAUGUCCGGUGUGUGGACUGUUUAGACACACAAUGACGUCCAUAUAAUUAAACUUACCAAGUUGGGUGAUCAGAGUGACCACUUGGUUGUUGCUGUUGCCGGAUGGAUAACCGAUGAGGGACUGACCUGAGGCUUGUCUGCUCCAGCAGACAGGGUAUCCGAGCUGUGGUCACUUGUUCAAAAGCAAAGGUGCCCAGUUUGUCAUGGUGGAGGGCAGUGGACUCUGCACCCAUUCCCCAGCUUCUUCCUCACAUGUGAUUAUUUUCUAGCAUCCAUAUUCUCCACCACCAUGAAACCCAGGGAAAGUUGACACCAUUUUCAGUUUCAACGGUAGAUCUUGAUUAAUCUAAAUUAAUAAACGCAUGGCAUUCUCCCCAUGGCCGGUGAUUCAGGAGUGACUUCUGAGUAUAAUCAGCUAAGUGAAAGGGCUUAGGUUCCAUGCUCGAGGAAGUGGGUUUUCCCUCUCUUUCUGGAUAGAUGAUGGCAGAAGCACAGAGCCCCCCAUUGCUAAUGGCAUCCAUUUUACAAUCGCAAGGAGGAGCAGGUUUAGAAUGAAGUCAGUGUUGAGGAUGGCUGAAUGGAGAGAUGGAAAAAACCAAAAUGCUUGAUUAUAUCAUUGAGCCUCUGUGCUGUGCUUUCCCUGUCUCUGGGCUUCCUUUCAUAUACUAUAUCAUUUCCUUAUUAUUUAAGCCAGUUUGAGUUUCUAUUGCUUGCCCCUGAAGGCAUCCUGAUUGGGAGAGGUGCACAUUUGCUUCCUGAGGCCCCAUGCACAUUUGAACCACAUUUUCGUGGUGUUUUAAAGAUAGAGCCUUGAAUUUAUGUCUAAGGACUGUAUGCAUCCAGCUGCCACCACACUCAAAGUGGUCUAAAACAGAAAUCACUCUCAACAUUGCCUGGCUUCUUGAUCUUGACCCUCCCAGCCUCAUGUCCAACCCCUCCAGCCUCAUCUCUAGCCAUACUCAUCAGCCCCUCUACAGUCUUUCAGUUAUCCUAGUGUGCCAUCCGGUCUCUCACCUCUAGCCUUGCUCACGCUUUUUCCACUGACUCUAUGGAUCUCCUUGACUGCCUUUUCCCCAUACUCCCGCUCCAUCAAACCUUGACUUAGGCACCAUUUCCCCUGGGCAGACUUCCCUUCAUUGGUCCUUCUAAUACUUCCCUAGCACCUUACUCAUCCCCUAUCAGAGCACUUUCUACUCUAUAUGGAAAUGACCCUGUUGGACUGUGGGUCCAGUGAGGACAGGAAACAUCUGUUCUGUUUACAGUUUUGUCCCCAGGGCUUAACACAUAGUUGGUACUGCAUAAAAUAUUUGUUGAAAGAAUGAUGAAUUAAUUACUUAAAGCUAUUCAAACACUCUGCCUUGCCUAGUGCCCAAGUGCCUUAAUAUGGCUUUCAAUGAUCUGGCCCUGACUUCCUGUCCAGACCCCUCUCCCGUUACUCACCACUAAUUUUUUUAUUUAAAGCGCACUGAUUCACACGUCCUCUGCCCUUUCAUGUCUUACUGCCCCUAUGGGCAUUUGUUACUUCCUGAAACUACCCAUUGUUGUGGGGCUCUGCUUCUUUAGUUGGGAGAUUGCUGUGAAAUAGUGAAAGGAAUUCAAACAAACAAACAACAACAACAACAACCCAACAACCCUGGGUUCAAAUUCUGCGUAGCAUCUUCUCAUUCGUGUGAUGUUGGACAAUGUACUUAAUCUGUCAUCUACAACAUGGGGGCAAAAUUGUGCCCAGCCAGGUUGUUGUGAGGAUAAAUCAGGGAAUGGAUAAGAAGUCACCUGGCAUAAUACUUCUUGUGUUAAGUUCUUCGAAUAACCCUGCAUGCUGAAUCAUUGUUGAAGUCUGACUUCUGGUUUCAGAAUCAACCACCAAUUUGAUUCUAGGUUUCUUUGAAAAAGCAAAAUCAAAGAGUAAAAAUUGACCAUGGGUUCAGACUUCAGGAAGAAAAAAAGGUUUGAGAGGGAGUAAAGUGGCAUUGCGGGGUCUUUAUUCUCUACUUUAAAGUCUGAAGAGUCUGGGGUUAGCAGGAGUACCGUUUGAGAAGUUACUUGGUUUGGCUAAAAUGGUCACGUUGUCAUGGCAGAACCUGAAAUUACCAGGAAGUUUUUGAGUUCCCACAGUUUCAAUUACAAUUGCUGUGCCCACGGAGCGAUCCUUCAAGGCCAAGUGGGAACACAGUGGCAGGUGUUCAGUGGUGCUUUUAAGAUGCUGCUAGGUAAGAGUGAAGAACUAGGUAAAAGCCCAUUAAAACCUUUCCCAAAUGGGAGGGAACCACAUUGUCUAGAUUCACAGAGUGAGCUGGACUUACAACUCUUUCCCAUAGUACUGGGCUCUAUUCUUUGACCAAGCUCCUAGUUUUUGAUCCCUGGCUUCUGUUCUACGCCUCCUAUAGUUUGGAGCAACUUACCUAUUCAACAACUAGCUUUCCCUAGAGAUAUUUUGGAAGAGUAGGGGAAGGAAGGAGCUAGCUUCCAGAAAAGGGUACAGAAAUUAGAUGCUGCAUCUAAACAGAACCUUUCUUUCACUUAAAUAUCUUCAUGGUUGAACGGAAGGGAAAAAAAUGUGUGUUUUGGAACCAGAAAGCUGGUUUUGAAUGUUGGCUCAUCCAUUAAUUGACUGUAUGAUUUGGGGCAUGCUACUUGACCUCUUUGAGCCUCAGCUUUUUCAUCUAUGAAAUGGGCCUAAUAUCUGUCUUGCACAGUCUUGGUGGUAAUGAGAUGAGACCACGGAUGCAAAACAUCUAGCAGAGUGCUUAGGAGGUGUUCAACAAAGUUGACUUUAUUGCUAAUUUUUAAAAUUAUUAUUUCCUAUACAUCAAUGUCAGUUAUGUCAGAGUGAGAUGGCAGGUACAGUUUCCUUUGGACCUGGCUUAUAAGCCAAAAAGGAAAAGAGAUAUAAUCCAAAAAGUAUCAGAAUCAUACUUUACGUUGAACAUUUCUGGCAGCUUUAGCCCUUAUGAAGGUGGGCCAAGACAGUAUCUUAGAAUGUCAAGAUGUAGAUCCAGAUUCCUCAUUGUGCAUGGAAUGGAGUGAGGGUGCAGCAAGCUGUCUAUGGAGUGAAGAUUAAGAGUACAGAGAAAGACAGAUACCAUCUGUUUUCACUCUUAUGUGGA
Felis catus (domestic cat) is the source of this 5654-nucleotide long non-coding RNA. RefSeq lists it as uncharacterized. The record is from RefSeq and is a predicted model, not a curated record. The transcript is spliced from 10 exons. Lineage: Eukaryota; Metazoa; Chordata; Mammalia; Carnivora; Felidae.